UACGUAGGGUGCAAGCGUUGUCCGGAAUUAUUGGGCGUAAAGGGCUCGUAGGCGGUUUGUCGCGUCGGGAGUGAAAACACCGGGCUUAACUCGGUGCUUGCUUUCGAUACGGGCAGACUAGAGGCAUGCAGGGGAGAACGGAAUUCCUGGUGUAGCGGUGAAAUGCGCAGAUAUCAGGAGGAACACCGGUGGCGAAGGCGGUUCUCUGGGCAUGUCCUGACGCUGAGGAGCGAAAGUGUGGGGAGCGAACAGG
This 253-nucleotide ribosomal RNA is filed under the name uncultured bacterium. Its description in RNAcentral is "partial 16S ribosomal RNA". It matches the Rfam family "Bacterial small subunit ribosomal RNA", at positions 524 to 776 of the family's 1533-position model. The record is from RNAcentral.